UACGUAGGGUGCAAGCGUUAUCCGGAAUUAUUGGGCGUAAAGGGUGCGUAGGCGGUUGUUUAAGUUAUAAAAUAAAUCUAUUCGUUUUAUAAUACUAUACGACUUGGGUUUGAGAGGAAAAAGCGGUACUCUUAGUUUAGAAGUGAAAUUCGUUUGAUAUUAAGAGGACCAACAGCCGGCGAUGGCUGCUUUUUAUUUCUAUACUGACGCUGAGGCACGAAAGCGUGGGGAGCGAACGAG
This 240-nucleotide ribosomal RNA is filed under the name uncultured bacterium. RNAcentral's name for it is "partial 16S ribosomal RNA". It matches the Rfam family "Bacterial small subunit ribosomal RNA", at positions 524 to 776 of the family's 1533-position model. The record is from RNAcentral.